Molecule: non-coding RNA, 30 nt
Filed under: Homo sapiens (human)
Lineage: Eukaryota; Metazoa; Chordata; Mammalia; Primates; Hominidae
Source: RNAcentral
UGAGUUAUCAAGUGCACAAACGUGGUGUGC